GAUGAACGCUGGCGGCGUGCCUAAUACAUGCAAGUCGAGCGAACAGACGAGGAGCUUGCUCCUCUGACGUUAGCGGCGGACGGGUGAGUAACACGUGGAUAACCUACCUAUAAGACUGGGAUAACUUUGGGAAACCGGAGCUAAUACCGGAUAAUAUAUUGAACCGCAUGGUUCAAUAGUGAAAGACGGUUUUGCUGUCACUUAUAGAUGGAUCCGCGCCGCAUUAGCUAGUUGGUAAGGUAACGGCUUACCAAGGCGACGAUGCGUAGCCGACCUGAGAGGGUGAUCGGCCACACUGGAACUGAGACACGGUCCAGACUCCUACGGGAGGCAGCAGUAGGGAAUCUUCCGCAAUGGGCGAAAGCCUGACGGAGCAACGCCGCGUGAGUGAUGAAGGUCUUCGGAUCGUAAAACUCUGUUAUUAGGGAAGAACAAAUGUGUAAGUAACUAUGCACGUCUUGACUGUACCUAAUCAGAAAGCCACGGCUAACUACGUG
Molecule: ribosomal RNA, 497 nt
Filed under: uncultured bacterium
Lineage: Bacteria
Description: partial 16S ribosomal RNA
Rfam family: Bacterial small subunit ribosomal RNA
Source: RNAcentral